GGUGAAAUGCAUAGAUAUGAUACAGAACUCCGAUAGCGAAGGCAGCUCACUAAACUGAAACUGACGCUCAGGCACGAAAGCGUGGGGAGCAAACAGGAUUAGAUACCCUGGUAGUCCACGCCGUAAACGAUGAUCACUCGUUGUUGGCAACACAUCGUCAGCGACUGAACGAAAGUAUUAAGUGAUCCACCUGGGGAGUACGAUCGCAAGGUUGAAACUCAAAGGAAUUGACGGGGGCCCGCACAAGCGGAGGAGCAUGUGGUUUAAUUCGAUGAUACGCGAGGAACCUUACCUGGGCUUAGAUGUAGAACGACCGUCCGGGAAACCGGACUUCUCUUCGGAGCGUUUUACAAGGUGCUGCAUGGUUGUCGUCAGCUCGUGCCGUGAGGUGUCGGGUUAAGUCCCAUAACGAGCGCAACCCCUAUCCUUAGUUGCCAUCAGGUAAUGCUGGGGACUCUAAGGAAACUGCCUACGCAAGUAGUGAGGAAGGUGGGGAUGACGUCAAAUCAGCACGGCCCUUAUGUCCAGGGCUACACACGUGCUACAAUGGCCGGUACAGAGGGUCGCUACCUGGUGACAGGAUGCUAAUCUCGAAAACCGGUCUCAGUUCGGAUCGAAGUCUGCAACUCGACUUCGUGAAGUUGGAUUCGCUAGU
Molecule: ribosomal RNA, 655 nt
Filed under: uncultured Bacteroidota bacterium
Lineage: Bacteria; Pseudomonadati; Bacteroidota
Description: bacterial SSU rRNA
Rfam family: Bacterial small subunit ribosomal RNA
Source: RNAcentral